AUCGCUUCUCGGCCUAUGGCUAAGAUCAAAGUGUAGUAUCUGUUCUUAUCAGCUUAAUAUCUGAUACGCAAUUCAUAGAAUUGCCAGAAUAUUAGCUAGAUUUUUGUAAAAUGGUGGAAUUUCGGAGCUUGCUUCGAGUCUGCCGCGGGUUGAGCCGGUCUUGCAGUACUGCCGGAUUCAGCCCAACAUUA
RNAcentral lists this small nuclear RNA (191 nucleotides) under Polistes fuscatus (common paper wasp). RNAcentral's name for it is "U2 spliceosomal RNA". It matches the Rfam family "U2 spliceosomal RNA". From Rfam's summary of the family: U2 is a small nuclear RNA (snRNA) component of the spliceosome (involved in pre-mRNA splicing). Complementary binding between U2 snRNA (in an area lying towards the 5' end but 3' to hairpin I) and the branchpoint sequence (BPS) of the intron results the bulging out of an unpaired adenosine, on the BPS, which initiates a nucleophilic attack at the intronic 5' splice site, thus starting the first of two transesterification reactions that mediate splicing. Lineage: Eukaryota; Metazoa; Arthropoda; Insecta; Hymenoptera; Vespidae. The record is from RNAcentral.